GGACUACCAGGGUAUCUAAUCCUGUUUGCUCCCCACGCUUUCGUGCCUCAGCGUCAGUUCAGGCCCAGGCGGUUGCCUUCGCCAUUGGUGUUCUUCCAGAUAUCUACGCAUUUCACCGCUACACCUGGAGUUCCACCGCCCUCUACCGAACUCGAGUCGGGCAGUAUCGAAUGGCAUUCCCAGGUUAAGCCCAGGGCUUUCACAUCCGACUUACCCAACCGCCUACGCACGCUUUACGCCCAGUAAAUCCGAUUAACGCUAGCACCCUCUGUAUUACCGCGGCUGCUGGCAC
Molecule: ribosomal RNA, 292 nt
Filed under: uncultured bacterium
Lineage: Bacteria
Also listed under: 1 other name
Description: partial 16S ribosomal RNA
Source: RNAcentral